AUUGAUUAAUUAUAUAAAUAUGUCCAAGUGUAACAUCUGUUCUUAUCAGCUUAAUAUCUGAUGCGGGUUGUAGUUAGACUCAAGAUAUUAAAUUUGUUUUUCCAAGCUCGCGGAGUGCUUGAAGCCUGCUUCACCUCCACGUGGGUCGGCCCGGUAUUGGACAAUCUUCGGGGUUAGCCCACGGUUC
Small nuclear RNA from Dermacentor silvarum, 187 nucleotides. RefSeq annotates it as U2 spliceosomal RNA. The record is from RefSeq and is a predicted model, not a curated record. Lineage: Eukaryota; Metazoa; Arthropoda; Arachnida; Ixodida; Ixodidae. The transcript has a single exon.